CAGAGCGAACGCUGGCGGCAGGCCUAACACAUGCAAGUCGAACGAACUCUUCGGAGUUAGUGGCGGACGGGUGAGUAACACGUGGGAACGUGCCUUUUGGUUCGGAAUAACUCAGGGAAACUUGUGCUAAUACCGAAUGUGCCCUUCGGGGGAAAGAUUUAUCGCCAUUAGAGCGGCCCGCGUCUGAUUAGCUAGUUGGUGAGGUAAAGGCUCACCAAGGCGACGAUCAGUAGCUGGUCUGAGAGGAUGAUCAGCCACAUUGGGACUGAGACACGGCCCAAACUCCUACGGGAGGCAGCAGUGGGGAAUCUUGCGCAAUGGGCGAAAGCCUGACGCAGCCAUGCCGCGUGAAUGAUGAAGGUCUUAGGAUUGUAAAAUUCUUUCACCGGGGACGAUAAUGACGGUACCCGGAGAAGAAGCCCCGGCUAACUUCGUGCCAGCAGCCGCGGUAAUACGAAGGGGGCUAGCGUUGCUCGGAAUUACUGGGCGUAAAGGGAGCGUAGGCGGACAUUUAAGUCAGGGGUGAAAUCCCGGGGCUCAACCUCGGAAUUGCCUUUGAUACUGGGUGUCUUGAGUAUGAGAGAGGUGUGUGGAACUCCGAGUGUAGAGGUGAAAUUCGUAGAUAUUCGGAAGAACACCAGUGGCGAAGGCGACACACUGGCUCAUUACUGACGCUGAGGCUCGAAAGCGUGGGGAGCAAACAGGAUUAGAUACCCUGGUAGUCCACGCCGUAAACGAUGAUUGCUAGUUG
This 751-nucleotide ribosomal RNA is filed under the name Caulobacteraceae bacterium. RNAcentral describes it as "bacterial SSU rRNA". It matches the Rfam family "Bacterial small subunit ribosomal RNA", at positions 25 to 822 of the family's 1533-position model. The record is from RNAcentral. Lineage: Bacteria; Pseudomonadati; Pseudomonadota; Alphaproteobacteria; Caulobacterales; Caulobacteraceae.